GUAAAAUCGGGUGAGCUGUAAAAUGGACAUCCAACUUGAAAUUGGCCAGUUCCUGCCAGGCACAGAAAAGGAUAUUGUGAAAAAAAUAGCUGCCUGGAAUUCCCAUGUACAUUUUCUGGCAAAGGAUCAGUGAAACUUUCAAACAGACAGCAGAAAUGACUACCAAUGAACCAUUUACUUCAUUUCUUCAGGGAUUCCACCAAUAUUCCACCGAAGCUACAGGACAAAGUUGAAGGUCCUACAAGAAAGAAGUGGUAUGGAAGAAUUAUUGGUUCAUUGUCCAUGAUUUUCCCUGAUCACGCUGAACAAUUUAAAAACGUUUGAUGUUGGAAAGUUUGUCUAACUGUAUGUAGCCCCAAAUUAAAUUAAUAUGUUAUGC
Long non-coding RNA from Carcharodon carcharias (great white shark), 379 nucleotides. RefSeq lists it as uncharacterized. Lineage: Eukaryota; Metazoa; Chordata; Chondrichthyes; Lamniformes; Lamnidae. The transcript has 3 exons. The record is from RefSeq and is a predicted model, not a curated record.